RNAcentral lists this ribosomal RNA (253 nucleotides) under uncultured bacterium. Its description in RNAcentral is "partial 16S ribosomal RNA". It matches the Rfam family "Bacterial small subunit ribosomal RNA", at positions 524 to 776 of the family's 1533-position model. The record is from RNAcentral.
UACGGAGGGUGCAAACGUUGCUCGGAAUCAUUGGGCGUAAAGCGUGCGUAGGCGGCUCAUCAAGUCGGAUGUGAAAGCCCUCGGCUCAACCGAGGAAGUGCAUUCGAAACUAGUGAGCUUGAGUAUCGGAGAGGGUGACGGAAUUCCCGGUGUAGAGGUGAAAUUCGUAGAUAUCGGGAGGAACACCUGUGGCGAAGGCGGUCACCUGGACGAAAACUGACGCUGAGGCACGAAAGCGUGGGGAGCAAACAGG